RNAcentral lists this long non-coding RNA (709 nucleotides) under Neogobius melanostomus (round goby). RNAcentral describes it as "lncRNA (ENSNMLG00000013683.1)". Lineage: Eukaryota; Metazoa; Chordata; Actinopteri; Gobiiformes; Gobiidae. The record is from RNAcentral.
CGUUCUUGAGUCAUCUUCUGUACUCUGUCGCUGUCCUACACUUUAACUACAGUGUACAGAAGAUGACCCAAGAACCUUCUGUAGAUGGCUUGAGAUAUACUCGCAACAUAAAAAUAUGCCAUUGAGGGUACUGUUAUCUUUACAUUGGUCACAGGUGUAAUUCACAAAAAUUCAGAGAAAUGGAAUGGUAAAGUUAACUACCAUGUGUUAUUUCUUUAGGAUGCAGCAGAGCCCCAACUUUCCACUGAGUUUCCUGAGACCGCCAUGUUCACGAACCAAGACAAAGACUCAACGCGCUCCCAAAGCAUUUCCCAGGAUGCAGCAGAGCCCCAACUUUCCACUGAGUUUCCUGAGACCGCCAUGUUCACGAACCAAGACAAAGACUCAACGCGCUCCCAAAGCAUUUCCCAGGUAACUUAAUUUAUUUCACAGUGGGUCAUAUUACUGUCUAUUGAAAUGCUUGCGUUAGCGUUUUAGCUGCCUGAUUUUACACAGGUAAACACAUGUCACGACCGCUGUUCUUGUGGGAACCACAGCAUUUACUCUAAACAUUAGUCAUUGGUAUGAACUCUACUGCACACAAACGACAGGUUUUACCCCACUAUCGAGGUCCAGUUAACACACGUCAGGACCACUGUUCUUGUGGGGACCACAGCAUUUACUCUAAACAUUAGUCAUUGGUAUGAACUCUACUGCACACAAACGACAG